UAUUUAAACUGCUGGAGUGCCCUCACCUGAAUGUGCGGAAGGCAGCCCAUGAGGCUCUGGGUCAGUUUUGCUGUGCACUGCACAAGGUCUGUCAAAGCUGCCCCUCGGAACCCAACACUGCUGCUUUGCAGGCUGCCCUGGCCCGAGUGGUGCCAUCCUACAUGCAGGCAGUGAACAGGGAGCGGGAGCGCCAGGUGGUGAUGGCCGUGCUGGAGGCCCUGACAGGGGUGCUCCGCAGCUGUGGGACCCUCACACUGAAGCCCCCUGGGCGCCUUGCUGAGCUCUGUAGCAUGCUCAAGGCUGUGCUGCAGAGGAAGACAGCCUGUCAGGAUACUGACGAGGAGGAAGAGGAAGAUGAUGAUCAGGUGAGAGCCAGGGAUAAAAACUGGGACCAGGCGGUCCAGGCAGUCUCCACGGGGACAGGGGUGGACAAUGUAUUUGGGCUUGGCCUGGGGCAGCCAGGGCCACUAAAAGAGAUUGGUAAUGGCCAGAGGGAUACAACCCUGAUCCCACUAAGCCAGUGGGAGUUCAGGGAAGGAGAGCAGUGUGGACUGGGGUGUGCUUGGAGUGAUAGGCAGGAGCAGAAGAGCCAGGGGAAGAAGCUGGGUCAUAGAAAAACCC
RNAcentral lists this small RNA (621 nucleotides) under Pongo abelii (Sumatran orangutan). RNAcentral describes it as "retained intron". The record is from RNAcentral. Lineage: Eukaryota; Metazoa; Chordata; Mammalia; Primates; Hominidae.